AUGAACGCUAGCGACAGGCCUAACACAUGCAAGUCAGGGGCAGCACAAGGAGCAAUCUGAGGUGGCGACCGGCGCACGGGUGAGUAACACGUAUGCAACCUGCCUGUAAGCGGGGAAUAACCCGUUGAAAGACGGACUAAUACCGCAUAAUACUAAAUUACUGCAUGGUAAUUUAUUUAAACAUUUAUGGCUUACAGAUGGGCAUGCGCAUGAUUAGCUAGUUGGAGAGGUAACGGCUCCCCAAGGCAGCGAUCAUUAGGGGUUCUGAGAGGAAGGUCCCCCCACACUGGUACUGAGACACGGACCAGACUCCUACGGGAGGCAGCAGUGAGGAAUAUUGGUCAAUGGACGAGAGUCUGAACCAGCCAAGUCGCGUGCAGGAAGAAUUGUCCUAUGGAUUGUAAACUGCUUUUGCAGGGGAAUAAAGUGCAUCACGUGUGAUGUUUUGUAUGUACUCUGCGAAUAAGGAUCGGCUAACUCCGUGCCAGCCGCGGC
This 495-nucleotide ribosomal RNA is filed under the name uncultured bacterium. RNAcentral describes it as "bacterial SSU rRNA". It matches the Rfam family "Bacterial small subunit ribosomal RNA", at positions 29 to 518 of the family's 1533-position model. The record is from RNAcentral.